UACGUAGGAGACGAGUGUUGUCCGGAGUUACUGGGCGUAAAGGGUGCGCAGGUGGCGGCGCGCGUGGGGGGUGAAAUCGCCCGGCUUAACUGGGCGGGGGCCUUCCAGACGGCGUGGCUUGAGCAGCGGAGGGGGACGUGGAAUUCCGGGUGGAGCGGUGAAAUGCAUUGAGAUCGGAAAGAACACCAACGGCGAAAGCACUCUGCUGGGCCGACACUGACACUGAGAGACGAAAGCUAGGGGAGCAAAUGGG
Molecule: ribosomal RNA, 253 nt
Filed under: uncultured bacterium
Lineage: Bacteria
Description: partial 16S ribosomal RNA
Rfam family: Bacterial small subunit ribosomal RNA
Source: RNAcentral